CCUACGGGAGGCAGCAGUGAGGAAUAUUGGUCAAUGGACGAGAGUCUGAACCAGCCAAGUAGCGUGAAGGAUGACUGCCCUAUGGGUUGUAAACUUCUUUUAUAAAGGAAUAAAACGAGGCACGUGUGCCUUUUUGCAUGUACUUUAUGAAGAAGUAUCGGCCAACUACGUGCCAGCAGCCGCGGUAAUACGGAGGAUCCGAUCGUUAUCCGGAAUUAUUGGGUUUAAAGGGAGCGUAGAGGGGUUGUUAAGUUAGUUGUGAAAGUUUGCGGCUCAACCGUAAAAUUGCAAUUGAUACUGGCAGUCUGGAGUAGAGUUGAGGUAGGCGGAAUUCGUGGUGUAGCGGUGAAAUGCUUAGAUAGCACGAUGAACCCGGAGUGCGAAGGCAGCUUACUAAACUGUGACUGACAUUGAUGCUCGAAAGUGUGGGUAUCAAACAGGAUUAGAUACCCUAGUAGUC
This 460-nucleotide ribosomal RNA is filed under the name uncultured bacterium. Its description in RNAcentral is "partial 16S ribosomal RNA". It matches the Rfam family "Bacterial small subunit ribosomal RNA", at positions 338 to 795 of the family's 1533-position model. The record is from RNAcentral.